Molecule: long non-coding RNA, 400 nt
Filed under: Gossypium barbadense (sea-island cotton)
Lineage: Eukaryota; Viridiplantae; Streptophyta; Magnoliopsida; Malvales; Malvaceae
Description: long non-coding RNA (GBAR_LNC018356)
Source: RNAcentral
UUCACUCCAGAGCUCUUUGCCCAAUCUACCACCGGCCUAUGUUGAGAAGACUGGAAUUAGAAUGAUCUUCCUUUUUUCUUUUUGGCCAUAAAAUGAAACGCUUUACAUUACAUACAGGUAUGCAAUCUCUUACUUUUCCUUUUCUUUAGCCUAAUGAUUGUUACUCUUCUUUGAUGUUUCCAAUUUUAAUCAAUUAGUAUGGUAACUGGUAUAUACACGGACACAUGUGCGCAUGAAGGUGGCAUAAAUUGAAGGAUGAGUUUGUUUGGAAUUAAUGGUAACAAACCUGACAGUGUCCAAGUCCUUGCCAUUGUUAUCCAACACCACAUCAAAGGUUGCCCCUGCAACAACCUUGCCAACAUCUGCAGGGUCUCCCCACACCGUCUUCCCUCCAGCACUC